AAACUUGUAGUAUAAAACAAUACGGUAAACUGCAACUUUACUGAGGCCAUAGGCCAAGUUUU
RNAcentral lists this transfer RNA (62 nucleotides) under Pilsbryoconcha exilis. RNAcentral describes it as "tRNA-Cys". The record is from RNAcentral. Lineage: Eukaryota; Metazoa; Mollusca; Bivalvia; Unionida; Unionidae.